Molecule: ribosomal RNA, 865 nt
Filed under: uncultured bacterium
Lineage: Bacteria
Description: bacterial SSU rRNA
Rfam family: Bacterial small subunit ribosomal RNA
Source: RNAcentral
GCUGGAAUUUCGGCUUAGAGUUUGAUCCUGGCUCAGGGCGAACGCUGGCGGCGUGCCUUAGACAUGCAAGUCGAGCGAUAGGCAUCCUUCGGGGUGCUGAGAGCGGCGAACGGCGGAGUAACACGUGGGUAACCUGCCCCGAAGACAGGGACAACCCGGGGAAACUCGGGCUAAUACCGGAUGUGGAUGUGUGGGCUUCGGCGCGUGCAUCUAAAUGGGUAUUCCGCUUCGGGAUGGGCCCGCGGCCUAUCAGGUAGUUGGUGAGGUAAGGGCUCACCUAUCCUACGACGGGUAGCCGGUCUGAGAGGACGAUCGGCCCGAGGGGCACUGAGACACGGGCCCCACUCCUACGGGAGGCAGCAGUCGGGAAUUUUGGGCAAUGGGCGCAAGCCUGACCCAGCGACGCCGCGUGGAGGACGAAGCCCUUCGGGGUGUAAACUCCUUUUAGUGGGGACGAACGCAGACGGUACCCACAGAAAAAGCCCCGGCUAACUACGUGCCAGCAGCCGCGGUAAUACGUAGGGGGCGAGCGUUGCCCGAAUUUUACUGGGCGUAAAGCGCACGUAGGCGGCUCCGUAAGUCUGGUGUGAAAUCUCACGGCUCAACCGAGAGACUGCACCAGAUACUGCGGAGCUCGAGGGCUAGAGAGGAGAUUGGAAUUCCCGGUGUAGCGGUGAAAUGCAUUGAUAUCGGGAGGAACACCAGUGGCGAAGGCGGAUCUCUGGCUCGCUUCUGACGCUGAGGUGCGAAAGCUGGGGGAGCGAAAGGGAUUAGAUACCCCUGUAGUCCCAGCCCUAAACGAUGGGCGCUAGGUGUUGGGGGAUUAACCCUCGGCGCCGUAGCUAACGCAUAAGCGCCCGCCAUA